CAAAAAGUAGUUUAAUAAAAAUAAUAACUUUGGGAGUUAUUGAUCAGUGUUUACUGCUUUUUGA
RNAcentral lists this transfer RNA (64 nucleotides) under Drieschia cf. elegans BG-2021. Its description in RNAcentral is "tRNA-Pro". The record is from RNAcentral. Lineage: Eukaryota; Metazoa; Annelida; Polychaeta; Phyllodocida; Polynoidae.